UUCUGGGAUUGUUUUCUCUUUCAGAAAGCGCUACUGCGGAGUGAACCGGUCCUUAUAUCUUAGUUUCGUGACUUUGGGGGCGGCAGGCCUGUGAGUUGUUUUCCGCCCUGGACGCUGUUUUGCAAAGAUCUCUGCGCGCCCACCGCCACCCUCCCGGGCGUGCGGGCCGGGAAGCAGCCAGCGGUGGGAAACUCCGACGCCCUCCUCGACACUUUUCUCCCCCCAACUCCCCAAGACUCACUUCUAGGGAAGUCCUUUUUCCCAUCAAGCCCUGGGAAAGACUGGCCAGGCUGAGAGAGGGACCCGUCCUCCUCUGUGCCAAAGGCGGGAGCAAAUCCUGGUGCUGUCGCCUUUGGAUGUGAGUCCUGGAAAUGGCGGGGGUGAGGAAGGUGGGCAGGGGCAAGGUUUGGCCCUCAGGCGAGAACCGACGCCUUGUCCCGGAAGCGCAGCACGGCCGAGUGCGUCCGGGGGUGCAGACGGCGCCCUGGGGUGGUCCUGCCGCCACCUCUCCUUUGACUCAGGAGCGCCGCGCCGCGUCCGGGCGCGUUCUCAGUCGCGCGAAGCCAGAGAGGACCCUGGGCGUGAUUCUCCCUCCCUGGCACAGACGGAGACCCGAGUGACCCCGGGGUCCGGGUGGGCGUGGGGAAUGGACCCAUAGACCCGGGACGAGCGGCGCGGAGCCCGCAGCUGGCCAGCUUCAGCCACCUUGGGAGACGCAGUGCAGCUGCCGCUGCUGACAGACAAGACCAAGGCUCGGCUGGGCCCCACCCCAGAUCCGGCCUGAGCGCCUUCCGCGCUGCUCGGCCUCAAGGCGAAACUUUUCGCGCAGAAACUCCUGGAGAACAGCCCCGGCCGCCAGGUACUCGCCCGCCCGGACCGCAAAGCCCACAGAGCUUCAAUUCGCAGGAAGGGGAGUGGGGAGCCCUGAGCUGGGGUGUUCCUGGAAGAGGUCGGGGAGCGGGGGGAGAGGCAUUCCAGGCUGGAGGCCUGGAAACGUUUGGAAGCUUUGCUAACCUUGGAGACCAUGUCAGGAAAGAAGCGUACCCAGGCCGUCUGCUGUGUGCCCACCCCGAUCCCCAUCAGUGCCCCACGCACUCGAGCUCUUCUUCGGCGUCUGCAGCCUCUUCAUCCGCGCGGAGAGGCGGAGGUCUCCCGGAAACAGUGUCCGACUGUGGCACCCCAGAGCGUCCAAUGCGAGCUCAGGCCUUUCCCGCAAGUCUGGAGUUUUCUUAUCCAGUUGAGGCCGCCUUCGCUGUACUCACUCUCUGCCUCCCACCCCAUCUUCUGCCACCCGACCUCCAUCUUUGAUGGUUAGCGCCUUCAGCCCUCAACAGCUUCGCACAACCAACCCCUAGAAGCCGUGGAGUCAGACCGGCCAGGGUGGGACCUAGGUUUUAACUCGGGUUCUGGCUACACACGCUGCGCCUCCAUACAGUUUGUCCCAGGUUUGGCAGCAGGCCGGCUACCUUCAGGAAUUCUUUGCUUUGGCUUCUGUCUGUUCCUGUCUGUUGGGCAAGUUUCUAGCUACCCCACUGAGAGAACCAUAGAACAAGGACCCUGGCAUGGCAUACAGACAAGGAAUGUUUGCUGAAUUAAUGGAGCUGGUGCCUUGCAGCUUCCCUUUUGUUCCUUGAAGUUGCCCUUGCUCUCCUCCACAUCAGCUCCCUCUCCUCCUCAGCUACUUAUUCCCCACCCUGGCUUCUUCUAGUCGCAGUCCCCAAGUACUUGCUGAAUCCUGUAUGGACAGCCUAAGCCUCCAUUUCUGACAAUUCCUGUGGCCCCACUCCAUUUGUUUUUUAGACUUCUCCCUCCUUUUUGUCCCCAUCCCCCAAGUUAUAAAACUAUAAUGCAA
Long non-coding RNA from Homo sapiens (human), 1852 nucleotides. Ensembl annotates it as LBX2 antisense RNA 1. Its record names the gene LBX2-AS1. The record is from Ensembl. Lineage: Eukaryota; Metazoa; Chordata; Mammalia; Primates; Hominidae.